UCAACAAUUGGAUAAUCGGAAAACAUAUGCAAACUUUGUGGAUGUCGACGAUGCAUGGAAUUUAGUAGGAUGCAUAGAUACACACUAAAAAAGAAUUGUAUUCAUAUUAUAUUAUUUUAUUAUUCAUGUUGUUGUAUUGUUUCAAAAGCCUUGUAAUUGAUCCUUUAGAAAUGGAAUGAAAUGGUUAUUUAAAUA
Molecule: long non-coding RNA, 195 nt
Organism: Helianthus annuus (common sunflower)
Lineage: Eukaryota; Viridiplantae; Streptophyta; Magnoliopsida; Asterales; Asteraceae
Exons: 2
Source: RefSeq, a predicted model, not a curated record